CAGAUAUCAGAAAUUCGCGUACAAAACCAAUUAUCAUCAGAUAACACAUAACAGAUCGAUCAUUUGGAAGAUCAUAUCAGACCCAAUUAUUAACUGCUAACAGAUCGAUCAUUUCAUGACCAUGUCCAAACCUAGUCUUGCUUGAUAGCAGCAGCAGCAGACUUAUCCCCACCGUCCUUUAGAAUUUCAUGAACCACCUCCACCGGCUUCUCCACCGCCUGCUGCCCCUCUCCCGCCGGAGACCGGUAGUCGACCGUCUCCACCACCUUCGUCUCCACCACUGCUUCCGGAUUCGUAGUCGCCUUAGCAGAAGAAUCCUUGGUUGUAGACAUCUUGAGAGACUGUAGGGCUGGAGCUGUG
This 360-nucleotide unclassified non-coding RNA is filed under the name Hevea brasiliensis (rubber tree). The record is from RNAcentral. Lineage: Eukaryota; Viridiplantae; Streptophyta; Magnoliopsida; Malpighiales; Euphorbiaceae.